GACCAGUGUGAAGGUAGUGAGUUAUCUCAAUCUCACAGUAAGUUACGGAUUGAACUCCUUGUUCUACUCUUUCCCCACUUCUCACUACUGCACUUGAGUAGUNNNNN
Molecule: unclassified non-coding RNA, 107 nt
Organism: Cercocebus atys (sooty mangabey)
Lineage: Eukaryota; Metazoa; Chordata; Mammalia; Primates; Cercopithecidae
Rfam family: Y RNA
About the family: Y RNAs are components of the Ro ribonucleoprotein particle (Ro RNP), in association with Ro60 and La proteins.
Source: Ensembl